UGCAAUAAAAGAAUUAAAAAGUGGGAAGACACCGGGACCCGACGGACUAAGUGCAAGAUAUUAAAAAGAAUUGAAGGACAUCCUACUUGUCCCAUUAAAAGAAGUUAUGAACAACAUUUUACUAAACAGAGAAAUACCAGAAACGUGGAAAGAAGCAUACAUCACUUUGAUACCCAAGCAAGACUCUGAUCUAAAUCAGGUUAAAAAUUUCAGGCUGAUCUCGCUUUUGAACAAUGUUUUUAAAUAUUUUGCAAACAUACUAGCAAACAGGUUAAAAAAAGUAUUGAAGGAAUUAAUACAUAAAGAUCAGGCGGGUUUCCUGCCAGGUAGACAAAUGAAAGACAAUAUUAGAAAUAUAAUUAAUAUUUUGGAGUACCUGAAUGCUAAGAAUGACAAACAAGCGAUGUUAAUAUUUGUGGAUGCAGAGAAGGCUUUUGAUAAUAUUUCUUGGGAAUUUAUGUUAAAGAAUUUUGAAAAGAUGGAGGUGGGACAUUCGUUUUUAAAUGGUAUUAAGGCUAUAUAUAUGGAUCAAAGAGCUAAAUUAAUAGUUAAUAAUGUGACAACGGAAAAUAUAAAGAUAACUAAGGGAACAAGACAAGGAUGUCCUUUAUCACCUCUGUUAUUUAUCACGGUCCUGGAAGUGUUUUUAAGGGCAAUUAGAAGUAAUGAUCAGAUAAAAGGGGUAACGGUGGGUAGAAAAGAAUUUAAGGUUAAAGCCUUUGCGGAUGACUUAGUAUUAACUUUGGAAGAUCCCAUGAACACGGUAACAGAAGUGUUGAAAGAAAUGGACCAGUUUGGUCAGUUGGCAGGAUUCAUUCUGAAUAAGAAAAAAACUAAAGCAAUUACUAAAAAUGUAGAUUCGGAGAAUGUAAACAGAUUACAGCAGCAAACUGAAAUAGAAGUGGUAAAGAAAGUUAAAUAUUUAGGAGUUUGGUUAACCCCCAGGAGUAUUGACUUGUUUCAGAAUAAUUAUAUUCCAACAUGGAAUAAGAUCAAAAGAGACUUAGAGGUGUGGGGAAGAAUGAAAUUGUCAUUUUGGGGAAGAAUUGCAAUGAUAAAAAUGAAUGUGCUACCGAAGAUGUUAUUCUUGUUUCAAACAGUUCCAGUAAUCAAAGGGGCAGCGAUUUUUAAAAAUUGGCAACGAGAAAUUUCAAGGUAUAUCUGCCAGGGUAAGAAGCCGGGGAUAAAAUUUAAGAUAUUGACGGACGCAAAAGAAAGAGGAGGCUUCGCCCUGCCAGACUUUAAAUUGUAUUACGAAGCAUCUUGCCUCUGUUGGUUGAAGGAAUGGAUGAAAUUAGAAGACACGGAUGUGUUAGAUCUUGAAGGUUUUGAUAAUAGAUUUGGGUGGCAGGCGUAUUUGUGGUAUGACAAGAGACGAGUACAUAAAGGUUUUGAAAAUCACAUUAUAAGAAGGUCUUUGAUUGAAGUGUGGGAAAGAUAUAAAAACUUGUUGGAACAAAAAACUCCAUAUUGGUUGUCGCCGUUGGAGGCGAUAAGUGUGAAGAAAGUCAAUAUGACAGCGGGUUGGGUGACAUAUGAGAAGUUAAUGUGUAAAAGUGUAGGAAAAUGGAAAAUGAGAUCAUUUGAAGAAGUUAAGGACUAUGUGAAUGACUGGCUGCAUUAUUUUCAAAUUAAUGAGAUGUUUAGAAAAGAUUUAAAUCAGAGGGGUUUUGCUGACAAAGAAUCAAAAUUUCAGACAGAAAUAUUGAACAAUGAUUAUAAGAAUUUAGCAAAAAUGUAUAAGAUAUUACUGGAAUGGUGUACGAAGGAUGAGGAGGUAAAAUCAGUUAUGAUCGACUGGGCCAAAGAGAUAGGGCAUAAUAUUCAAAUGGAGGAUUGGGAAAGACUUUGGAAAGAUGGUUUAAGAUUCACUGCAUGCACAGUUAUAAAAGAAAAUGUUAUGAAAAUGAUGUACCGAUGGUAUGUAACACCUGUGAAGUUAGCAAAAAUGUAUAAGAUAAGUAACAAAUGUUGGAAAUGUAAAGAAAAAGAAGGUACCUCUUUUCAUAUGUGGUGGGAAUGUAAGAAGGUAAAAUGCUUUUGGGAAAUGAUUUAUAAUGAAUUGAAGAAAAUGUUGAAAUAUACAUUUGUUAAGAAACCAGAAGCAUUUUUACUAGGCAUUACAGGUAAUGAGAUAAAUAAGAAAGAAAAGAAGUUAUUUUUAUAUGCAGUGACAGCAGCAAGAAUAUUGAUGGCCCAGAAAUGGAAACAGGAGGAAUUACCUACGAUAGAAGAAUGGAGAACUAAAAUGAUGGAUUAUGCAGAACUGGACAGAAUGACAGGAAGGAUCCGGAAUCGACGAGAUCGAAGAUUUACAGAAGAUUUAUCCAAUAUUUGCAAAAGAAAGUUUAUCCAAUAUUUGCAAAAACUGAGUGAUAAUAAAAUUAUGUUUGUAAGCUUUAAGGAAGCUCUGUGAGGGGAAAGGGUUAAAAGGGCAGAAAUGUGUAAAAAGUAACAAUAGGAAGGAAUGGCAGACAAAUUGAGGGACGUCAAAAAAGAGAAGUAAGAUGUAAUUAAGAUGUAUGGAAUGUAUAAAUUUGUUUUUGUAUUUG
Molecule: long non-coding RNA, 2552 nt
Filed under: Podarcis lilfordi (Lilford's wall lizard)
Lineage: Eukaryota; Metazoa; Chordata; Lepidosauria; Squamata; Lacertidae
Source: RNAcentral